GAUGAACGCUGGCGGCGUGCUUAACACAUGCAAGUCGAACGAAGCACUUACCAAGGAUUCCUCCGGGAUGACUAGUAAGUGACUGAGUGGCGGACGGGUGAGUAACGCGUGGGUAACCUACCUCAUACAGGGGGAUAACAGUUAGAAAUGACUGCUAAUACCGCAUAAGCGCACAGUACUGCAUGGUACAGUGUGAAAAACUCCGGUGGUAUGAGAUGGACCCGCGUCUGAUUAGCUAGUUGGUAAGGUAACGGCUUACCAAGGCGACGAUCAGUAGCCGGCCUGAGAGGGUGAACGGCCACAUUGGAACUGAGACACGGUCCAAACUCCUACGGGAGGCAGCAGUGGGGAAUAUUGGGCAAUGGGGGAAACCCUGACCCAGCAACGCCGCGUGAAGGAAGAAGGCCUUCGGGUUGUAAACUUCUUUUAGCAGGGACGAAGGACGUGACGGUACCUGCAGAAAAAGCAACGGCUAACUACGUG
Molecule: ribosomal RNA, 483 nt
Filed under: uncultured bacterium
Lineage: Bacteria
Description: bacterial SSU rRNA
Rfam family: Bacterial small subunit ribosomal RNA
Source: RNAcentral